Molecule: non-coding RNA, 1538 nt
Organism: Pelobates cultripes (western spadefoot toad)
Lineage: Eukaryota; Metazoa; Chordata; Amphibia; Anura; Pelobatidae
Source: the annotation of a GenBank genome assembly
UCUGCAUACCAUUGCUGCCUACAGUACAAAUGUUUAAAAUUGGGAAAACAAUUCCACUUUUUUACAAUGUAUUUUUGUCCCUUCUUCAUGAAAACAAAACUCCAGAUUUUGUCCUGGCACCUCUCCUUGGAAGUAUCAUCGUGUUCUUGUGUGUAGAAAGGGAUGGUGACAUCAAUGCUCAAAUGUGCAUGCAUGGGAAAUUAUUCAUUUGUGGAGGGGGAUAGAGAAACUUACAUGUGCAGGUUCACAAGUAGAGAAUACCAGGGAAGAGUCAGAGGUAAGACAUGGUUGAUAAACAGACACAGUUUGCAGUAACUGACCUCCCAUAAUAUAUUUUUAAUGCAUUGUAUCUCUGAAAAGACCAUAGAGAACAAAACACAUGCCUUCAUGGUUCCUAAAGACAUACAGACAAGCAUCAGCAACAGGUAGACUCGUCCCUGACCACGAGGGGUCUCCACAAGUGAGAAGCCACUCAUUCUGGUCUAUGGUGUUCUGAUUUUAUUCCAUAUUUGUGCACAGCCAAGUUCAGUUUUAUCUACUGAAGCUCUGUGCAGUAAUCUUCCAAGCUACAGUGUGCUCAUGUAAGUGGCUGUGGCUCUCCUAUAGGGGAGGAGAGAUAUGUGUCUUGAUUGUGUGUGCAGUACAAAAAAAAUACUACUUUUUACUUGUGAGAAUCAGGGUCACAGAGUAAUAGCUGCAAAUUUGAGAAUUGUUGCAGUCACACUCAGUAGGGAGUGGUGUAGGGUACUCUCUGCACUACCUCCUGUGCUGUGAUGCUGACGUUCUACAGUGCUUAGUGACCUGUUUAAAGAAAAUAAAAAUAAAUAUUAAGCAGUAGGCCUCCAUUUGAUUCAAAGCUUUCCUAUGGGGAGGUCUAAUGUGCGCGCGACAUUUGCUGCGCAUGCGUAUUAGCGUCGGUGGGACGUCAGAGGAGGCGGAGCUGCAACCUUGAGGGAGCAGAGCAAGAAGGUCACAAAUCUCUCACUGCCUGCCUCCACUCUCCCCCAUCAGGGAACCUGCCUCCACUCUCUGCCCUCACUGGACCCCAGGGAAUACCGAUCCAUUCCAGCUCUCCCAAAGUUAGAGAGACUGAAUGGACUUGUAUUGAAUUAAAGCAUAUACUAAUUUGUAUUUGUAUGUAUGUGUCACUCAGUGUGCCUCUGUGUGUGUCUCUUUGUGUCUGUUUGUCAGUGAGUGUAUAUGUUUAGGUGACCAGCCUCGCUGAUCGUGUGGGAAUGGUGUUUUUUACUCACUCUUUUUUCCGUCUCUGUGUCAGUCUAACCAAGGGUGGCUCUGCCUCUGUGGCUGAGAUCAUCAAGCUUGAUGAUCUCGGCCAAUCCAACAUUUUCCCAUAGAAUUGGGAAGCUGUUGCUCAUGUGCUGUAAAAUGCUGCACCAAUCAGCAUCUCCUUAUAAAGAUGCAUUCAAACAAUGACAAAUGCAGAGUGUGGAGACACUGAAUGUAGAUAGGCAUCACUUUAAAGCAAGCAUGUCAAACUCAGUCUAGCACAGAUCAAAUAAAUAAGGUUUACAUUUAUG